GCCUGGCUGGCUUAGAAGAGCAUGUGACUCUUGAUCUCAGGAUUGUGAGUUCGAGCCCCACAUUGGGCA
This is a non-coding RNA of Felis catus (domestic cat), 69 nucleotides long. NCBI's taxonomy places the organism in Eukaryota, Metazoa, Chordata, Mammalia, Carnivora, Felidae. The record is from Rfam.